AUUGAACGCUGGCGGCAGGCCUAACACAUGCAAGUCGAGCGGAUGAAGGGAGCUUGCUCCUGGAUUCAGCGGCGGACGGGUGAGUAAUGCCUAGGAAUCUGCCUGGUAGUGGGGGAUAACGUCCGGAAACGGGCGCUAAUACCGCAUACGACCUGAGGGAGGAAGUGGGGGAUCUUCGGACCUCACGCUAUCAGAUGAGCCUAGGUCGGAUUAGCUAGUUGGUGGGGUAAAGGCCUACCAAGGCGACGAUCCGUAACUGGUCUGAGAGGAUGAUCAGUCACACUGGAACUGAGACACGGUCCAGACUCCUACGGGGGGCAGCAGUGGGGAAUAUUGGACAAUGGGCGAAAGCCUGAUCCAGCCAUGCCGCGUGUGUGAAGAAGGUCUUCGGAUUGUAAAGCACUUUAAGUUGGGAGGAAGGGCAGUAAGUUAAUACCUUGCUGUUUUGACGUUACCAACAGAAUAAGCACCGGCUAACUUCGUG
Molecule: ribosomal RNA, 484 nt
Filed under: uncultured bacterium
Lineage: Bacteria
Description: partial 16S ribosomal RNA
Rfam family: Bacterial small subunit ribosomal RNA
Source: RNAcentral